GGGGCAUUAGCUCAGUUGGCUAGAGCGUUUGCUUCGCAUGCAAAAGGUCGCGGGUUCGACUCCCGCAUGCUCCA
This 74-nucleotide transfer RNA is filed under the name Bacteroidales bacterium. RNAcentral describes it as "tRNA-Ala". It matches the Rfam family "tRNA". From Rfam's summary of the family: Transfer RNA (tRNA) molecules are approximately 80 nucleotides in length. Their secondary structure includes four short double-helical elements and three loops (D, anti-codon, and T loops). Lineage: Bacteria; Pseudomonadati; Bacteroidota; Bacteroidia; Bacteroidales. The record is from RNAcentral. RNAcentral also lists the same sequence under 1 other name.